CACAGCAUAGUCCUUUAGUCUCUAUGGACCAGGUGGCCAGUUGGUGAGGGCCACAGCAUAGUCCUUUAGUCUCUAUGGACCAGGUGGUCAGUUGGUGAGGGCCACAGCAUAGUCCUUUAGUCUCUAUGGACCAGAAGGCCAGUUGGUGAGAGCCACAGCAUGGUCCUUUAGUCUCUAUGGACCAGGUGGUCAGUUGGUGAGGGCCACAGCAUAGUCCUUUAGUCUCUAUGGACCAGGUGGCCAGUUGGUGAGAGCCACAGCAUGGUCCUUUGGUCUCUAUGGACCAGGUGGCCAGUUGGUGAGAGCCACAGCAUAGUCCUUUAGUCUCUAUGGGCCAGGUGGUCAGUUGGUGAGAGCCACAGCAUAGUCCUUUAGUCUCUAUGGACCAGAUGGCCAGUUGGUGAGGGCCACAGCAUAGUCCUUUAGUCUCUAUGGACCAGGUGGCCAGUUGGUGAGGGCCACAGCAUAGUCCUUUAGUCUCUAUGGACCAGAUGGCCAGUUGGUGAGAGCCACAGCAUAGUCCUUUAGUCUCUAUGGACCAGAUGACCAGUUGGUGAGGGCCACAGCAUAGUCCUUUAGUCUCUAUGGACCAGGUGGCCAGUUGGUGAGGGCCACAGCAUAGUCCUUUAGUCUCUAUGGGCCAGGUGCCAGUUGGUGAGGGCCACAGCAUAGUCCUUUAGUCUCUAUGGGGCAGAUGGUCAGUUGGUGAGGGCCACAGCAUAGUCCUUUAGUCUCUAUGGGCCAGGUGCCAGUUGGUGAGGGCCACAACAUGGGGAAAGAAACUGUUCAUAUGGGGGUCUAUAACAUCUAAUCACAGCAUCUGACAGUUGCAACUUCAUUGCUAAUAACUGCCUUAUUUAUAUAAAGACAUCAUCUCUGUACAGAUGUAAGAUCUGAAUUUGAUCAACCUGUCACAGGAAAACUAAAAUGUGUACUAUAUUUGAGUGUAUUUAAAUAAAGCUUUAAAAAAGGUUUCUGAAGAUGAUAAAUUACACUUUUCCAUUUUAAAAUGGUUCAUUAAUUA
Oncorhynchus tshawytscha (Chinook salmon) is the source of this 1024-nucleotide long non-coding RNA. NCBI's taxonomy places the organism in Eukaryota, Metazoa, Chordata, Actinopteri, Salmoniformes, Salmonidae. The record is from Ensembl.